UACGGAUGAUGCGAGCGUUAUCCGAAUUUAUUGGGUUUAAAGGGUGCGUAGGCGGCUUUUUAAGUCAGCGGUGAAAUUUUGCAGCUUAACUGUAACAGUGCCGUUGAUACUGGGGAGCUAGGAUUUGGUUGCUGUGGGUGGAAUGUGUGGUGUAGCGGUGAAAUGCUUAGAGAUCACACAGAAUAUCGAUUGCGAAGGCAGCUUACUAAACCAUAACUGACGCUCAGGUACGAAGGCGUGGGGAUCAAACAGGAUUAGAUA
Molecule: ribosomal RNA, 261 nt
Filed under: uncultured prokaryote
Description: partial 16S ribosomal RNA
Rfam family: Bacterial small subunit ribosomal RNA
Source: RNAcentral